RNAcentral lists this ribosomal RNA (1361 nucleotides) under uncultured bacterium. Its description in RNAcentral is "bacterial SSU rRNA". It matches the Rfam family "Bacterial small subunit ribosomal RNA", at positions 28 to 1381 of the family's 1533-position model. The record is from RNAcentral.
GAUGAACGCUAGCUACAGGCUUAACACAUGCAAGUCGAGGGGCAGCAUUUCAGUUUGCUUGCAAACUGGAGAUGGCGACCGGCGCACGGGUGAGUAACACGUAUCCAACCUGCCGAUAACUCGGGGAUAGCCUUUCGAAAGAAAGAUUAAUACCCGAUGGUAUAAUCAGACCGCAUGGUCUUGUUAUUAAAGAAUUUCGGUUAUCGAUGGGGAUGCGUUCCAUUAGGCAGUUGGUGAGGUAACGGCUCACCAAACCUUCGAUGGAUAGGGGUUCUGAGAGGAAGGUCCCCCACAUUGGAACUGAGACACGGUCCAAACUCCUACGGGAGGCAGCAGUGAGGAAUAUUGGUCAAUGGGCGCAGGCCUGAACCAGCCAAGUAGCGUGAAGGAUGACUGCCCUAUGGGUUGUAAACUUCUUUUAUAUGGGAAUAAAGUUUUCCACGUGUGGAAUUUUGUAUGUACCAUAUGAAUAAGGAUCGGCUAACUCCGUGCCAGCAGCCGCGGUAAUACGGAGGAUCCGAGCGUUAUCCGGAUUUAUUGGGUUUAAAGGGAGCGUAGGUGGACAGUUAAGUCAGUUGUGAAAGUUUGCGGCUCAACCGUAAAAUUGCAGUUGAUACUGGCUGUCUUGAGUACAGUAGAGGUGGGCGGAAUUCGUGGUGUAGCGGUGAAAUGCUUAGAUAUCACGAAGAACUCCGAUUGCGAAGGCAGCUCACUGGACUGCAACUGACACUGAUGCUCGAAAGUGUGGGUAUCAAACAGGAUUAGAUACCCUGGUAGUCCACACAGUAAACGAUGAAUACUCGCUGUUUGCGAUAUACAGUAAGCGGCCAAGCGAAAGCAUUAAGUAUUCCACCUGGGGAGUACGCCGGCAACGGUGAAACUCAAAGGAAUUGACGGGGGCCCGCACAAGCGGAGGAACAUGUGGUUUAAUUCGAUGAUACGCGAGGAACCUUACCCGGGCUUAAAUUGCAUUUGAAUAUAUUGGAAACAGUAUAGCCGUAAGGCAAAUGUGAAGGUGCUGCAUGGUUGUCGUCAGCUCGUGCCGUGAGGUGUCGGCUUAAGUGCCAUAACGAGCGCAACCCUUAUCUUUAGUUACUAACAGGUCAUGCUGAGGACUCUAGAGAGACUGCCGUCGUAAGAUGUGAGGAAGGUGGGGAUGACGUCAAAUCAGCACGGCCCUUACGUCCGGGGCUACACACGUGUUACAAUGGGGGGUACAGAAGGCAGCUACCUGGUGACAGGAUGCUAAUCCCAAAAGCCUCUCUCAGUUCGGAUCGAAGUCUGCAACCCGACUUCGUGAAGCUGGAUUUCGCUAGUAAUCGCGCAUUCAGCCAUGGCGCGGUGAAUACGUUCCCGGGCCU